UCUGUGCCGCCGUCCGGGCGAAGGAACCGGCCGCCUCGCUGGAAAACCGCGGCUGUUCCUUCUGCCGCUCCACCAGCGGGUUUUGUUUUUAAUCCAGCGGCGUUUAAGAAUAAAUGAGCAAAAGCCACGAAAUGGCCGGUGAAGGACAGGGAAGGCUGCGCCGAGAUGCCCGGGGACGGGCAGGACCCGCGGGCGGGAGGCUGGAGGGCAUCGCCCGGGCAGGCCCGGGGGCCGCGGAAAUCCCGCCGGCCGAACUGCGGAAGUCCCUGGUCCCUAGCCACGGAGGGCAUCCUACAGGAGGCUACUUUUGUCCGUGACAGAAAACCCUGUGAAGAAGAUCGCAGCCAUCAGGCACUUUAUUCAAUGCAGAGUUUUUGCUAAUGUGUGCGAAUGUCUAGGCACAAGUGGUGUGAGAACUUUCCAAAUCUACAGCCAUUAAGUUUAAAACUCCUGUUACGAAUUUCUACACCUCGGACUGUGCCUAAAUAUAAAUUUAUAAAUAAACAAAUAAAUAAAUACUCGUAUAAAUGCGUAUGGCCUUAA
Molecule: long non-coding RNA, 543 nt
Organism: Apus apus (common swift)
Lineage: Eukaryota; Metazoa; Chordata; Aves; Apodiformes; Apodidae
Exons: 2
Source: RefSeq, a predicted model, not a curated record